GGGGGAAGAUCUAACCAGCAAGAACUGCUAAUUCCUGCCUCCGAGCUUUAAACCUCGGCCCCCUU
This 65-nucleotide transfer RNA is filed under the name Pternistis bicalcaratus. RNAcentral's name for it is "tRNA-Ser". The record is from RNAcentral. Lineage: Eukaryota; Metazoa; Chordata; Aves; Galliformes; Phasianidae.